RNAcentral lists this ribosomal RNA (500 nucleotides) under uncultured bacterium. Its description in RNAcentral is "partial 16S ribosomal RNA". It matches the Rfam family "Bacterial small subunit ribosomal RNA", at positions 30 to 523 of the family's 1533-position model. The record is from RNAcentral.
AUUGAACGCUGGCGGAAUGCUUUACACAUGCAAGUCGAACGGCAGCACGGACUUCGGUCUGGUGGCGAGUGGCGAACGGGUGAGUAAUGUAUCGGAACGUGCCCAGUCGUGGGGGAUAACGUAGUGAAAAUUACGCUAAUACCGCAUACGAUCUAUGAAUGAAAGCGGGGGAGCGCAAGACCUCGCGCGGUUGGAGCGGCCGAUAUCAGAUUAGGUAGUUGGUGGGGUAAAGGCCCACCAAGCCAACGAUCUGUAGCUGGUCUGAGAGGACGACCAGCCACACUGGAACUGAGACACGGUCCAGACUCCUACGGGAGGCAGCAGUGGGGAAUUUUGGACAAUGGGCGAAAGCCUGAUCCAGCCAUUCCGCGUGCAGGAUGAAGGCCCUCGGGUUGUAAACUGCUUUUGUACAGAACGAAAAGGUUUCUACUAAUACUAGGAGCUCAUGACGGUACUGUAAGAAUAAGCACCGGCUAACUACGUGCCAGCCGCCGCAGUAA